GAUGAAGAACGUAGUGAAAUGCGAUACGUAAUGUGAAUUGCAAAUUCAGUGAAUCAUCGAGUCUUUGAACGCACAUUGCGCCCCCUGGUAUUCCGGGGGCAUGCCUGUCCGAGCGUCAUUGCUGCCCUCAAGCACGGCUUGUGUGUUGGGCCCCGUCCUCCGAUCCCGGGGGACGGGCCCGAAAGGCAGCGGCGGCACCGCGUCCGGUCCUCGAGCGUAUGGGGCUUUGUCACCCGCUCUGUAGGCCCGGCCGGCGCUUGCCGAUCAACCCAAAUUUUUAUCCAGGUUGACCUCGGAUCAGGUAGGGAUACCCGCUGAACUUAAGCAUAUCAAUAAGCGGAGGA
RNAcentral lists this unclassified non-coding RNA (344 nucleotides) under soil metagenome. Its description in RNAcentral is "partial contains 5.8S ribosomal RNA, internal transcribed spacer 2, and large subunit ribosomal RNA". The stretch from base 1 to 118 matches the Rfam family "5.8S ribosomal RNA", at positions 35 to 154 of the family's 154-position model. The record is from RNAcentral.